AUCCCAGAUUAGCUGAGUUUUCGUGCUUAUCUGAUUCAUAGGAGGCCAAAAACGAACUGGAAGUUUCGCUGAUAAAUGCCUUAUUAAUUAUUAUACAAAGGUGUUUACUAGUAACUCCGCCAUACAUUA
Small nucleolar RNA from Argentina anserina (silverweed cinquefoil), 129 nucleotides. The record is from RefSeq and is a predicted model, not a curated record. Lineage: Eukaryota; Viridiplantae; Streptophyta; Magnoliopsida; Rosales; Rosaceae.